RNAcentral lists this ribosomal RNA (135 nucleotides) under tylosin-resistant soil bacterium cfr2. RNAcentral's name for it is "partial 16S ribosomal RNA". It matches the Rfam family "Bacterial small subunit ribosomal RNA", at positions 355 to 507 of the family's 1533-position model. Lineage: Bacteria; Pseudomonadati; Pseudomonadota; Alphaproteobacteria; Hyphomicrobiales; Rhizobiaceae. RNAcentral also lists the same sequence under 1 other name. The record is from RNAcentral.
UGGGGAAUAUUGGACAAUGGGCGAAAGCCUGAUCCAGCCAUGCCGCGUGAGUGAUGAAGGCCCUAGGGUUGUAAAGCUCUUUCAACGGUGAAGAUAAUGACGGUAACCGUAGAAGAAGCCCCGGCUAACUUCGUG